UUAAGUGGCCUGGAGACUGAAAUCCUUUAUUUAUUCACAGAAUAGUUACAGCAGGGAACAUUUCCCCAUAAUGCCCUGCCAAAGUGCUUCAAUUUGGAGCUGGAAGAACCACAUUAUGUAGCAUUAUUCAAUUUCCAUGUCCAUUCAUUCCUUGAUUUCU
Molecule: small RNA, 160 nt
Filed under: Sphenodon punctatus (tuatara)
Lineage: Eukaryota; Metazoa; Chordata; Lepidosauria; Sphenodontia; Sphenodontidae
Description: TUC338 (ENSSPUG00000010642.1)
Source: RNAcentral